RNAcentral lists this small RNA (501 nucleotides) under Arabidopsis thaliana (thale cress). RNAcentral describes it as "putative long intergenic non-coding RNA". The record is from RNAcentral. Lineage: Eukaryota; Viridiplantae; Streptophyta; Magnoliopsida; Brassicales; Brassicaceae.
AGUAAUAGUAUCAUUAAUGUCGCCACGUUAUAAGAAAAAAAAAAGGUAUGAUUAAGAUUUAAGAGAGAGGAAUGGACAAAGCAAUGAAUUAUGAAUAUGCCAAAUAAUUCCCUUGAUUUUAUCUCUUGUCGGUCGUGUCACGGUUCUUCUUUCUACAUACACUGACCGGGUUAACAGUGGACUCGAAUAUCAUUGACUAGAAUGUCUAUAAUUGUUAAAACAAUCUCGUGUAAAGCUACGCAGAGUACAAGGUAAACAUAAAAUUACUAGUUUGUAACUAAACAAAUAAGAAAAUAUGCCUCUCAGACAAAAUCAUAUUGCAAUGUGACUUUGGAAUAUGGGUUCGCUGAUUUUUACUGUGACAUUUGUUAAAGACUAUCUUUUGGAAGAUCGAUCAACAACUAAACUCUUUGUUUCUUUUGGUGUUGUGUAGUAUACAUAACAUAUCCUUGAUGAAAAGAAUAUUAAGUUUGAGAAACCAAAUAAAAUAAAUAGAGCAGG